GUUGUUGCCUGUGAAUGGUAAAGUUGUUGCAAAAAUGGUAAAUGUGUUGCUUUUUUUACCGAUUUGGUAAAGUUGUUGCCCAAAGCAACAACUUUCCAUAUGAAAAUUGGUAAAUGUGUUGUCAUCACCAUUGACAAUACACACGAGCCUGCUCCUGCGUGUAUUAUCGCAUAGACUUUAAAAGAGACUACCAAGGCGCUUGAUGGAUGCGCAUGCUGCAUGCAUGGAGUCCUACAUAUAUGUAUGUACAGUUUGACAGAAUGAUGGUGUUAUGGCAGAUGAAUGAGAUGAGAAUUACGAAUGGAGGUGCUCCCAGUGAUUCCAGAGCUGUUCUUCCAAGAGAGUGUCAACUAGCACUGAGCCUGGAUGUAAGGAUGUUCCUUCUGGAUCAAGAAGCGAUUUGAUUGUGGAGCCUGGAUGUAAGGAUGUUCCUUCUGGAUCAAGAAGCGAUUUGAUUGUGCUUACUGUUGUACAAAGUUGGCAACCGAGUAUUGGGGAAGCAGUUGUGCACACAACGUGUCCUUCAGCGUAGACUCCUCUAACCAGAUGGAGAGCAGACAAUGAUCAAGCUCAUUUUACAGGCUGCCCUUUCAAAUGCGUCCAAGAUGAAGAAAAGGCCAUUUCGAGCAUUGACCAAUGCUGUGUAUGACCCGAUGUCUAGGAAAGGACCCCUAGGAUGCUCAGCGAAGGCUUUCUACAAAAAAUUAAUCAUGUAACACUAAGGAAUCUGUCACUUGUCAACAAAAUAAAAUGGCAUUGUAUUUUCAUCUGUUCGCCUGUUCAAUGCAGGGACCUAUUUGCCUUCUAUGCAAGGGGGGGGGGGGGGGUUAUGUAUAACCUGUAUUCCCUGGUCCGGGCAAGAAAGUAAUACUGUUCGCCUGUUCAAUGCACGGAGUAGUGUCGCCUUUUUUAUGGCCGGGGGGGGGGGGGGGGGGGGGGGGGGGGGGGGGGUGUGUACAAAAGUCUUGUCUGUUGGUGGCCACGAUGCAGAGAGUACUUAGAGUUGGACAUGGUAGCUCCAUGCUCCAAUGUAUGCAUAUGCAGAUACUUGUAUAAAUGGAUCGAAAAAUUAAUACCUGGGUCCUUCCUAGGGGUGGAU
Long non-coding RNA from Strongylocentrotus purpuratus (purple sea urchin), 1099 nucleotides. RefSeq lists it as uncharacterized. The record is from RefSeq and is a predicted model, not a curated record. The transcript has 7 exons. Lineage: Eukaryota; Metazoa; Echinodermata; Echinoidea; Camarodonta; Strongylocentrotidae.